CCCUUAGAUGUUCUGGGCCGCACGCGCGCUACACUGACGAAUGCAACGAGCUUAUAACCUUGGCCGAAAGGUCUGGGUAAUCUCCAAAUUUCGUCGUGAUGGGGAUAGAUUAUUGCAAUUAUUAAUCUUCAACGAGGAAUGCCUAGUAAGCGCAAGUCAUCAGCUUGCGUUGAUUACGUCCUUGCCCUUUGUACACACCGCCCGUCGCUCCUACCGAUUGAAUGGUCCGGUGAAGCGUUCGGACCGUGGCCUUUGGACGGUUCGCCGUCUGUUGGCUGCGGGAAGUUCGUUAAACCUUAUCAUUUAGAGGAAGGAGAAGUCGUAACA
This 327-nucleotide ribosomal RNA is filed under the name uncultured eukaryote. Its description in RNAcentral is "partial 18S ribosomal RNA". It matches the Rfam family "Eukaryotic small subunit ribosomal RNA", at positions 1470 to 1796 of the family's 1831-position model. The record is from RNAcentral.